UCUUUAAUCGCGAGUGGAAGCAACCAGCCCUUAUUAUGCGGCGUAUAAGGUAUGUAUCCAUGUUUUUAAUUUUCUUUUUGCGGCGUUGUUGGUGUCUGGAAGACCUAGCCGCCGCCUCUUCUUAGGGUUUCAGUGAUUUCUAACUUAUGCAUUCAUCAAUACCUAUAUUCAUUUCUUGAGUGCUUCUGUGAUAUUUUUCAAGAUUUGGUGCUUUUUGAAAGAUGGGAUCCAUCACUGUCUUCUCCAAACGAUUCAACAAAUAGGUAACAAUUCUUCAAAUAUCGAUUCAUGUUUGAUAAUGUCGCUUCCUGUUUGAUGUUCUCUAUCAUAUGUUCAUCUUUAGGUUUUCCGAUUAAAUUCACGUAUUGAAGUAGAUUUUGAGCAAUUGUCAGAGGUGACGUUGUUUGCUGACACUAUUACAGUUCAACAAUUGGGAGUGAUGAUUUGGCAUACCAGAAAGGUCCUUUAAAGAGCUGAUCAUUCUUCCAAUCGAUUGCAAGCAGAUCAUUCCACUUAUUCUGCAGAUAUGUAAACUAGAUUAGACUGUUAUGUAUUUUAAAU
This is a long non-coding RNA of Helianthus annuus (common sunflower), 561 nucleotides long. RefSeq lists it as uncharacterized. The record is from RefSeq and is a predicted model, not a curated record. The transcript is spliced from 3 exons. NCBI's taxonomy places the organism in Eukaryota, Viridiplantae, Streptophyta, Magnoliopsida, Asterales, Asteraceae.